UUGCCCAAUGAUUAUAGCAAGACGCGUUAUUAUGAGGACUAAUGCUGGAACUCUUUUUCCUCCUCCUACUUCUCUUUCUUUGUCYCUUCCUCUUUCACCUUGCCUCCUCCCUUUCCUUAGGGUAUCCAGCGUCCUAUGAGCAAGACUGAGAUAUGAGGGCAA
Molecule: small nucleolar RNA, 162 nt
Organism: Apteryx haastii (Great spotted kiwi)
Lineage: Eukaryota; Metazoa; Chordata; Aves; Apterygiformes; Apterygidae
Source: Ensembl